CAGCCGCCGCGGUAAUACGUAGGUGGCAAGCGUUGUCCCGAAUUAUUGGGCGUAAAGGGCUCGCAGGCGGUUUCUUAAGUCUGAUGUGAAAGCCCCCGGCUCAACCGGGGAGGGUCAUUGGAAACUGGGAAACUUGAGUGCAGAAGAGGAGAGUGGAAUUCCACGUGUAGCGGUGAAAUGCGUAGAGAUGUGGAGGAACACCAGUGGCGAAGGCGACUCUCUGGUCUGUAACUGACGCUGAGGAGCGAAAGCGUGGGGAGCGAACAGGAUUAGAUACCCCUGUAGUCCCUGUCUCUUAUAC
This 301-nucleotide ribosomal RNA is filed under the name uncultured bacterium. RNAcentral's name for it is "partial 16S ribosomal RNA". It matches the Rfam family "Bacterial small subunit ribosomal RNA", at positions 509 to 807 of the family's 1533-position model. The record is from RNAcentral.